Molecule: ribosomal RNA, 587 nt
Filed under: uncultured fungus
Lineage: Eukaryota; Fungi
Description: eukaryotic LSU rRNA
Rfam family: 5.8S ribosomal RNA (bases 225-378)
Source: RNAcentral
CUUGGUCAUUUAGAGGAAGUAAAAGUCGUAACAAGGUCUCCGUAGGUGAACCUGCGGAGGGAUCAUUACAAGUGACCCCGGUCUAACCACCGGGAUGUUCAUAACCCUUUGUUGUCCGACUCUGUUGCCUCCGGGGCGACCCUGCCUUCGGGCGGGGGCUCCGGGUGGACACUUCAAACUCUUGCGUAACUUUGCAGUCUGAGUAAACUUAAUUAAUAAAUUAAAACUUUUAACAACGGAUCUCUUGGUUCUGGCAUCGAUGAAGAACGCAGCGAAAUGCGAUAAGUAAUGUGAGUUGCAGAAUUCAGUGAAUCAUCGAAUCUUUGAACGCACAUUGCGCCCCCUGGUAUUCCGGGGGGCAUGCCUGUUCGAGCGUCAUUUCACCACUCAAGCCUCGCUUGGUAUUGGGCAACGCGGUCCGCCGCGUGCCUCAAAUCGACCGGCUGGGUCUUCUGUCCCCUAAGCGUUGUGGAAACUAUUCGCUAAAGGGUGCUCGGGAGGCUACGCCGUAAAACAAACCCAUUUCUAAGGUUGACCUCGGAUCAGGUAGGGAUACCCGCUGAACUUAAGCAUAUCAAUAAGCGGAG